This 125-nucleotide ribosomal RNA is filed under the name Erinaceus europaeus (western European hedgehog). The record is from RNAcentral. Lineage: Eukaryota; Metazoa; Chordata; Mammalia; Eulipotyphla; Erinaceidae.
GUCUAUGACCUUACCACUCUGAACACGCCCAAUCUUGUCUCAUCUCAGAAGCUAAGCAGGGUCGGACCUGGUUUGUACUUGGAUGGGAGAAAAAUAUUCAGAAAGCAAAUUCAGUUAUUUAAACC